CAGUCGCCGCGGGAAUACGGAGGGCGCGAGCGUUACCCGGAUUUACUGGGCGUAAAGGGCGUGUAGGCGGCCUGGGGCGUCCCAUGUGAAAGGCCACGGCUCAACCGUGGAGGAGCGUGGGAUACGCUCAGGCUAGAGGGUGGGAGAGGGUGGUGGAAUUCCCGGAGUAGCGGUGAAAUGCGCAGAUACCGGGAGGAACGCCGAUGGCGAAGGCAGCCACCUGGUCCACUUCUGACGCUGAGGCGCGGAAGCGUGGGGAGCAAACCGGAUUAGAUACCCCGGUAGUCCCUGUCUCUUAUAC
This 301-nucleotide ribosomal RNA is filed under the name uncultured bacterium. RNAcentral describes it as "partial 16S ribosomal RNA". It matches the Rfam family "Bacterial small subunit ribosomal RNA", at positions 509 to 807 of the family's 1533-position model. The record is from RNAcentral.